CGAUACGACCGUACCGCAAACCGACACUGGUGCGCGAGAUGAGUAUUCUAAGGCGCUUGAGAGAACUCAGGAGAAGGAACUCGGCAAAUUGACACCGUAACUUCGGAAGAAGGUGUGCCCUAUUAGUGUGUAGUGAACAACGAAGCAUGAAUGGGUUGCAAAAAAUCGGUGGCUGCGACUGUUUAUUAAAAACACAGCACUCUGCAAACACGAAAGUGGACGUAUAGGGUGUGACGCCUGCCCGGUGCUGGAAGAUUAAAGGAUGGGGUGCAAGCUCUUGAUUGAAGUCCCAGUAAACGGCGGCCGUAACAAUAACGGUCCUAAGGUGGCGAAAUUCCUUGUCGGGUAAGUUCCGACCUGCACGAAUGGCGUAACGAUGGCCACACUGUCUCCUCCUGAGACUCAGCGAAGUUGAAAUGUUUGUGAUGAUGCAAUCUCCCCGCGGAAAGACGGAAAGACCCCAUGAACCUUUACUGUAGCUUUGUAUUGGACUUUGAACAGAUCUGUGUAGGAUAGGUGGGAGGCUUUGAAGCAGGGUCGCUAGAUCUUGUGGAGCCAACGUUGAAAUACCACCCUGGUGUGUUUGAGGUUCUAACCUAGGUCCAUUAUCUGGAUCGGGGACAGUGCAUGGUAGGCAGUUUGACUGGGGCGGUCUCCUCCCAAAGCGUAACGGAGGAGUUCGAAGGUACGCUAGUUACGGUCGGACAUCGUGACGAUAGUGCAAUGGCAUAAGCGUGCUUAACUGCGAGACUGACAAGUCGAGCAGAUGCGAAAGCAGGACAUAGUGAUCCGGUGGUUCUGUAUGGAAGGGCCAUCGCUCAACGGAUAAAAGGUACUCUGGGGAUAACAGGCUGAUACCGCCCAAGAGUUCAUAUCGACGGCGGUGUUUGGCACCUCGAUGUCGGCUCAUCUCAUCCUGGGGCUGUAGCCGGUCCCAAGGGUAUGGCUGUUCGCCAUUUAAAGAGGUACGUGAGCUGGGUUUAAAACGUCGUGAGACAGUUUGGUCCCUAUCUUCCGUGGGCGCUGCAGAUUUGAGGAAGCCUGCUCCUAGUACGAGAGGACCGGAGUGGACACACCUCUGGUGUAUCGGUUGUCACGCCAGUGGCAUUGCCGAGUAGCUAAGUGUGGAAGAGAUAACCGCUGAAAGCAUCUAAGCGGGAAACUCGUUUCAAGAUGAGAUCUGCCGGGGCCUUGAGCCCCCUAAAGAGUCGUUCAAGACCAGGACGUUGAUAGGUCAGGUGUGGAAGC
RNAcentral lists this ribosomal RNA (1248 nucleotides) under metagenome. Its description in RNAcentral is "bacterial LSU rRNA". It matches the Rfam family "Bacterial large subunit ribosomal RNA", at positions 1634 to 2874 of the family's 2925-position model. The record is from RNAcentral.